This 253-nucleotide ribosomal RNA is filed under the name uncultured bacterium. RNAcentral describes it as "partial 16S ribosomal RNA". It matches the Rfam family "Bacterial small subunit ribosomal RNA", at positions 524 to 776 of the family's 1533-position model. The record is from RNAcentral.
UACGGGGGAGCAAGCGUUGUUCGGAUUUACUGGGCGUAAAGGGCGCGUAGGCGGCCACCGCAAGUCGGUUGUGAAAUCUCCGGGCUUAACCCGGAAAGGUCAAUCGAUACUGCGGGGCUAGAGUGCAGAAGGGGCAACUGGAAUUCUCGGUGUAGCGGUGAAAUGCGUAGAUAUCGAGAGGAACACCUGCGGCGAAGGCGGGUUGCUGGGCUGACACUGACGCUGAAGCGCGAAAGCUAGGGGAGCGAACGGG